Molecule: long non-coding RNA, 254 nt
Filed under: Ricinus communis (castor bean)
Lineage: Eukaryota; Viridiplantae; Streptophyta; Magnoliopsida; Malpighiales; Euphorbiaceae
Description: long non-coding RNA (RCOM_LNC001680)
Source: RNAcentral
GUAAUAGUAAGAGACUAAAACUAGUUUGGAACUGGGUGUAAUUGCCAAAAUCUAUCUAAGUCGCGGCUAACAAUUCCUAAUAACACCAAGUUCAAACCCCAUCCGCAAAUAAUAAUUAAUUCUCUGGGAAACUUGAAAAGAAAUACGGGAAAUCAUCGAUAUUAUCCUUGUAUUAUCUGACAGCCAAACCUUGACUCUUCCAUUCCAAUCAAAAUCAGGUAAAUCAUGUCGUUCGCCGGAGAUCCGCCUUCNNN